AUUGAACGCUGGCGGCAGGCCUAACACAUGCAAGUCGAGCGGAUGAAGGGAGCUUGCUCCUGGAUUCAGCGGCGGACGGGUGAGUAAUGCCUAGGAAUCUGCCUGGUAGUGGGGGAUAACGUCCGGAAACGGGCGCUAAUACCGCAUAAGUCCUGAGGGAGAAAGUGGGGGAUCUUCGGACCUCACGCUAUCAGAUGAGCCUAGGUCGGAUUAGCUAGUUGGUGGGGUAAAGGCCUACCAAGGCGACGAUCCGUAACUGGUCUGAGAGGAUGAUCAGUCACACUGGAACUGAGACACGGUCCAGACUCCUACGGGAGGCAGCAGUGGGGAAUAUUGGACAAUGGGCGAAAGCCUGAUCCAGCCAUGCCGCGUGUGUGAAGAAGGUCUUCGGAUUGUAAAGCGCUUUAAGUUGGGAGGAAGAGCAGUAAGUUAAUACCUUGCUGUUUUGACGGUACCAAAAGAAUAAGCACCGGCUAACUUCGUG
RNAcentral lists this ribosomal RNA (484 nucleotides) under uncultured bacterium. RNAcentral's name for it is "partial 16S ribosomal RNA". It matches the Rfam family "Bacterial small subunit ribosomal RNA", at positions 30 to 507 of the family's 1533-position model. The record is from RNAcentral.